UUUCAUCUGGCAGAUAAAUGUGACAAAUUUAGGAUUUGUAGAUAAAUAUAAAAUUUGGUGGAAA
RNAcentral lists this transfer RNA (64 nucleotides) under Calanus glacialis. RNAcentral describes it as "tRNA-Leu". The record is from RNAcentral. Lineage: Eukaryota; Metazoa; Arthropoda; Copepoda; Calanoida; Calanidae.